RNAcentral lists this long non-coding RNA (403 nucleotides) under Manihot esculenta (cassava). Its description in RNAcentral is "long non-coding RNA (MESC_LNC001939)". Lineage: Eukaryota; Viridiplantae; Streptophyta; Magnoliopsida; Malpighiales; Euphorbiaceae. The record is from RNAcentral.
AUAUGUGAUGUAUGUGAUGCGGGUUCAUGUGUGCCCACAUGAACCAUAUGAUGCUAAUGUUUAUGUGUUGUGUACUGUUUUUCAGAAAACAGGAUGAGAGGAACUCGUCGAUCAGCAAGAUUGACUGGAGUACCACCUGAGGAUGAGGGCAUGAGCGCCCGUCCUCCAGCAUUGCCUAGGGCAAUGUCUAGUAGGUCUAACAGAGAAAGAGCAGCAAAAGACCCUAGAAGGUCUUUGGAUCUGGGUAGAAGCAGAUCAGUCAGAGGAACAGUUCAGGGAGGAAUGUCUGAGGGCAUGGGGGAUGAUAUGGAUGUAGAGCAGAGGAGGGAUGGCAGUCUGGGAGUUAGCAUGUCAGAGGAAGGUAUGGGAGAGUCCCAAGGAGGCACUCAGGCCUCGGGAUUUG